GCCUGGCUGGUUCAGUUGGCAGAACAUGUGAUUCUUAAUCUUAGGGUCAUGAGUUCAAGCCCCACACUGGGCA
Molecule: non-coding RNA, 73 nt
Organism: Canis lupus familiaris (dog)
Lineage: Eukaryota; Metazoa; Chordata; Mammalia; Carnivora; Canidae
Source: Rfam